RNAcentral lists this ribosomal RNA (363 nucleotides) under Aeromachus stigmata. Its description in RNAcentral is "SSU rRNA". It matches the Rfam family "Eukaryotic small subunit ribosomal RNA", at positions 1162 to 1514 of the family's 1831-position model. Lineage: Eukaryota; Metazoa; Arthropoda; Insecta; Lepidoptera; Hesperiidae. The record is from RNAcentral.
GGGCACCACCAGGGGGUGCAGCUGCGGCUUCUUUGACUCAACACGGGAAAUCUCACCAGGCCCGGACACCGGAAGGAUUGACAGAUUAACAGCUCUUUCUUGAUUCGGUGGGUGGUGGUGCAUGGCCGUUCUUAGUUGGUGGAGCGAUUUGUCUGGUUAAUUCCGGUAACGAACGAGACUCUAGCCUGCUAAAUAGGCGUCACCAUUUUGGUGUGCUCGACUUCGGUCGUGCAACUCACUGGCGGCGUAUUAAAAUUCUUCUUAGAGGGACCGGCGGCUUCGAGCCGCACGAGAUUGAGCAAUAACAGGUCUGUGAUGCCCUUAGAUGUCCUGGGCCGCACGCGCGCUACAUUGAAGGAAUCA